AGUCUCCUGUGAAAAAUGACAAUUUCCAGUGGAACAGUUAUGAGGAAGAGAUGGGAUCUGCCUGGGCUUUUUCAGUCUUUUGGACAAUCCAAGAUUCCUCUAGCUAAUGACUUCACAGUUGGUAACAGCUUGUUAGCUUUAUGGUGUUUCUUUAAUGUUUGUUAAAUGUUCCUGGGAUAUAGAUACCAGAUUACAAUUCACACCAGCCGGGAGGGACAAUGGAAAUUUCUUUAGGAGGCUUGCAGAUCCCUUGGACCUAGGGCACCCAACCUUUUGGGAUAUUUAGGAGAAAAAGGAGGGUUUUACUUCCGUCUUCCCUGGGGUUCCAGAUGAAUGUGUCAUCUUGGCUAGUCAUUUAGAGUCAUCUUAUGAACUCUAAAUGAAACUGAAGUCACACCUUUAACAUUACUUUAAGGAAGAAUCACAGAAGCCAACCUUAAAUCACUUAAAAUGAGAAUGAAACUUGAAGCAAUAGAUAGGAAGAACCAUUAUCUGGUCUGUCCUGCAAUUAUUGGAAGUGUUAAAGGAGAUGAAGUUUAC
RNAcentral lists this long non-coding RNA (540 nucleotides) under Homo sapiens (human). Its description in RNAcentral is "non-protein coding LINC02175:23". The record is from RNAcentral. Lineage: Eukaryota; Metazoa; Chordata; Mammalia; Primates; Hominidae.